AUUGAACGCUGGCGGCAGGCCUAACACAUGCAAGUCGAACGAGUGGCGGACGGGUGAGUAAUGUCUGGGAAACUGCCCGAUGGAGGGGGAUAACUACUGGAAACGGUAGCUAAUACCGCAUACCAUCGGAUGUGCCCAGUUGGGAUUAGCUAGUAGGGGGGGUAACGGCUCACCUAGGCGACGAUCCCUAGCUGGUCUGAGAGGACGACCAACCACACUGGGACGGGGACACGGCCCAGACUCCAACGGGAGGCAGAAGGGGGAAAUUUUGGACAAUGGGGGAAACCCUGAGCAAGCCAUGCCGCGUGGAGGAAGAAGGCCUUCGGGUUGUAAAGUACGUUCAGCGAGGAGGCGUUACUCGCAGAAGAAGCACCGGCUAACUCCGUGCCAGCAGCCGCGGUAAUAC
Molecule: ribosomal RNA, 406 nt
Filed under: uncultured bacterium
Lineage: Bacteria
Description: partial 16S ribosomal RNA
Rfam family: Bacterial small subunit ribosomal RNA
Source: RNAcentral